RNAcentral lists this ribosomal RNA (532 nucleotides) under uncultured Phaeobacter sp. Its description in RNAcentral is "bacterial SSU rRNA". It matches the Rfam family "Bacterial small subunit ribosomal RNA", at positions 82 to 649 of the family's 1533-position model. Lineage: Bacteria; Pseudomonadati; Pseudomonadota; Alphaproteobacteria; Rhodobacterales; Roseobacteraceae. The record is from RNAcentral.
ACCUUCGGGUGGAGCGGCGGACGGGUUAGUAACGCGUGGGAAUAUACCCUUCACUAUGGAAUAGCCUCGGGAAACUGAGAGUAAUACCAUAUACGCCCUUCGGGGGAAAGAUUUAUCGGUGAAGGAUUAGCCCGCGUAAGAUUAGAUAGUUGGUGGGGUAAUGGCCUACCAAGUCUACGAUCUUUAGCUGGUUUUAGAGGAUGAUCAGCAACACUGGGACUGAGACACGGCCCAGACUCCUACGGGAGGCAGCAGUGGGGAAUCUUAGACAAUGGGCGCAAGCCUGAUCUAGCCAUGCCGCGUGAGUGAUGAAGGUCUUAGGAUCGUAAAGCUCUUUCGCUAGGGAUGAUAAUGACAGUACCUAGUAAAGAAGCCCCGGCUAACUCCGUGCCAGCAGCCGCGGUAAUACGGAGGGGGCUAGCGUUGUUCGGAAUUACUGGGCGUAAAGCGUACGUAGGCGGAUCAGAAAGUAUGGGGUGAAAUCCCAGGGCUUAACCCUGGAACUGCCUCAUAAACUCCUGGUCUUGAGUUC